RNAcentral lists this ribosomal RNA (254 nucleotides) under uncultured bacterium. Its description in RNAcentral is "partial 16S ribosomal RNA". It matches the Rfam family "Bacterial small subunit ribosomal RNA", at positions 524 to 776 of the family's 1533-position model. The record is from RNAcentral.
UACAGAGGGUGCGAGCGUUGUUCGGAAUUACUGGGCGUAAAGCGCGCGCAGGCGGCUCUUUAAGUCUCGUGGUCAAAUGCCGGGGCUCAACCCCGAGCGUGCCGGGGAUACUGGAGGGCUGGAGACAGGUAGAGGCAAGCGGAAUUCCGGGUGUAGCGGUGGAAUGCGUAGAGAUCCGGAAGAACACCGGAGGCGAAGGCGGCUUGCUGGACCUGGUCUGACGCUGAGGCGCGAAAGCGUGGGGAGCAAACAGG